RNAcentral lists this long non-coding RNA (4189 nucleotides) under Sus scrofa (pig). RNAcentral describes it as "lncRNA (ENSSSCG00000053778.1)". The record is from RNAcentral. Lineage: Eukaryota; Metazoa; Chordata; Mammalia; Artiodactyla; Suidae.
ACAGAGAGGACUCAGCUUGAGGAGGUCACUCGUUCACAGCCGCUCCUCCCAUUAUAUUUUUCCCCUUAUUGCAGAACUGCUGAACUUACCUCCAUCUGUCUUUUCAAGCAGAAGAAUAGUAAUCAAUCCAGACAGUUAUAUCUUCAGAUCCUCAGGUUUUAAUAAAGGGUAGAAAGGGUCCCUUUAACUCCUGGAGACAGUAAAUCACAGUUUGUGUGGUAGUUCUCUGAAGACACUUAAAGGACUGAAUUGGAUGCUCUACAUAGCACCCUUGCCAAAAGAGUUCAGAAAUGACUUCCAGCUUCCCACAGUCAUAAAAUGGCACUGUUUGGCAUCUUUAAGGUCACAGACCACUGACUCUAAACCUCACAACUAGUUCUGAAGAGUAUGGAGCCUACAUAGAUUCAUAAGGUGGAGGAAGUCCAACCCUGGAGUUAGUGAGGUGGAGAGAAGAGAAAGCAAGGAGGUAGAAGAAGAGACUGCUUCCCCUCACCCUACCUGAGUUUUCCUAAUGUGAGCAGGCCUGAGCCAGAGAAAAGAAAGGAAUUUUGAAUAGGAUGUGAAGUGAACAUUUUGCUUCCAAUGGACUUGUACUUUUUAAUAGCUGAAAGGGACACUUCUAAUACAUGAAAAAGCCCAGAAAAUCUAUGGAAUGUGUCUGAGUUCAGAGGCAGGAAAAGAGGUUACGUUUAUUACCUGUCCCUUGCAUUAGAAUUUAAGCUCCAGGAAGUCAGGGUUGUUUCCUCGGCUUGGUUUUCCUUCCUCAUGCAUAUACUCCAAUGGGCCUAAAAUAGUACUUGUCUCAUAGUAGAUAUGCAAUAAAUAUUGGUUGAAUGGAUGACUUCAACAUUGUAAGACUGAAAGCAGUAAUUGGACAGAAAGUACUUCCUUUUGAACCUAUGGAGUCUGGUAUAGUCAAUAAACUUGACACUUGCGUUAGGAAAAGCGAUGCCUAUGUCAUUUAACAAGCAUGAGGUGGCUGCUAGAUAAGGGGAAGGAUUGCUGGUCAGUUCAGCAAAUGUUGUCCGUUUUAGAAAUUAUAGAGUGUAGUCGAAUUGCUGCAGGAUGCUAUACUAUCUAGAGCUUUUAAAUUUCCCUACCGGUAGCCUUGUAUUAAAGCUUGUGGUACUCAAAAUAUUUCCAGUGUUUUAGAGUUUAACUCUUUGAGUUAGUAAGAUCCUUAGUAAAAUGUCUUCCAUCAUUCAUGGCCAGUUACUUUUGUUUUUUAAAUUACUGGUUAUUUUGUUUGAGACUGAGUUUUGAGUAUGAUAAACACUUUUUAUUAUUCUAUGUGGAUUCAAGUAAAAGUGAGAAGAAUUGUUAACUUCGACAGAGAUAUAUGUUGCCACCUGUUGGAUUCUAAUCUUCUCUAGCAAAACACCUUGUUAGGAGGUUUGUGGUCCCUACCCUGAGGACCCAGGGCCUGAAAGAGUCAGCAUGAUUAAUUCUUUAGUUUGCUAAGGCUUUAGUGUUAUAUUUCUUUAGUUUUCUGGAACUCACUGACAUCAGUUUUUGUACUCCAAAGUUAGUAAGGAUAUAAUGAAAUGUUAAACUUCUAGCUAAAAAUUUUGCGCCAGAACAUUUUUGAAAAAUAUACUCCUGGGCAUAAAAAUAUCCCCAUGACAUAUUCAUGAUUACUAUAUUUCAAAGUAUAAGAUGGUGAUGAUGGUUCUUUUAUCUGGCAUGCGAACCUCGCUGAAAAGGUGUGUGGAUAAUCAGCUCCUCCCUUAAGUGCAGGAUGACCAUCACAGGUUCCAUUACUUUGGUCCAUGUCCCAGCAGCUCUUUCUCUUCCUUUGCUGCCUGAUAGCUUUGUUCAAAGGUAUCCACUAGCCUUUAAGCUAUGUCACUGAGAUCUUUCUCAAAAGAUUUUUAUACAUGUAUGCAUAAUUUAUAAUAUUUUAUGAAAGGGAAUUAGGAAUCUGUAUUUCUCUUAUUUCUUCAAAUAAAAAUUUGGCUAUCUUUAAUCUAAUCCCCAUCAUGUUAUAGAUGGUGAAAAAAAGAAUGCUGCAGUCAUUAAUAAUUUUAUAAACAAAUUCAUCUUUCUUAAGCAGAAAAACAACAAUGAACCAUCACAUUAGGAAGGGUAAUAUAUGAGAAGAGAUGGGCAGAGACGUACAAAAGUACAUAAAGAAGAGAAGUACAUAAGGAAAGCAAUAGGGAUAAAGUUUGAGGCAAGGAGAUCAAAUAGAAAAGGAACAAAGUGGAGGGAUGUCAAUUCAAGCCUCACCUUGAGUUAGUGACUUUCUCAGAGUAGGUUAUUUAGAACAAAUUUAAGGCCAUUACAACAUUUGUGGGAAAGAAUGUUGUGAUUGUGGUGCAAGAAUGAGGAGAUAGAGUCACAAAAAACCAUGUAUUUCCAUUUCUAUUCUAGAAGGUGAAGUCCUCUGCCACAAGAAAACCAGUAAGUGUUCAGAGGUGCAAGAGUCACCAUCAGUGUCAGAGAAUCCUGGCUAUUGAGGAACUAGUUUUGAAUUUAUUUUUUCCACUGAAUUUUCCUCCCCACUAGACAUUUAAAUUUCAGAUGGUUCAGAAAGAGCAUAAACCCAAAAAAGAAAAGGAGGAGAGUAAGAUCAAUUUAACUAUUUCAGACUGAUUCACAUGUUUGAGAUCUUCAUUAUUAUUCCUUAAACUACUGAGAGAACUCAAUUAUAUGAUUGGUGGGAUAUUCUAAUUAAAAAAAAGAAUUAUGGAGAGUACCAAAAAUUCUAGAAAUCUAAGUAUGAGGCAGAUAUUCUUCCAUUGCUCAAAAAGAGGAGGAAAAAAAAUGGAUUGUAUUUACCAUGGAAACAAGAGCCUUCUUUCCAAAGUGAAAUCCUCCACCUACACUCCCUCUUCUCAUGCCAAAUCCUUCCUCCUUCUCUAGUAAGGCACAUUUAUUGAAAGAAUAGUCUACCCAGUUAGUUAGCUUCCAUUUUUCUUCUUCCAUUGAUCUCUCAACACCUUUCAUUGGAUUCCAUUCCAUUCCAUUGGACUCUCACUAAGUUCCUACUUCAAGAUUUGCUAAAUGUCUUUCAUUACAGCUUCUUUUAGGUAACAUUAUGUUAUUUUAACAUAUGAGACCCUGGGAGGUAGUCAUAUUUUUCUCAAGCCUCUCCUUUACCUCCUUCCCUACUCUGACAAAUCUUAGAUUCUGUCCUCAACUUUCUUAUUCGAAAUGUUUGACCUCAGAAAUGUCCAUGACAACUUAUGGAAGUUCCCAGGCUAGGGGUCCAAUCGGAGCUACAGCUGCCAGCCUACACCACAGCAACACAGGAUCCGAGCCAUGUCUGCAACCUACACCACAGCUCACAGCAAUGCCAGAUCCCAGACCCACUGAGUGAAGCCAGGGAUCACACUCACAUCGUCAUGAAUACUAGUUGGAUUUGUUUUCACUGAGCCAUGAGAGGAACUCCUUAUAUUUUUAUAUGAUUGAUACCCAAAUCUACCUGCCUAGUCUAGACCACCUAAAUGUCAGUCUUAAGUUCCAGUUUCCCCUAGAAAUACUCGUGAUUGUCCCACACAUUCCUUAGUUCAGACUGUCUAAAAUAAAAUUUAUUUUUCUGUUCUCCAGAUCAGUUGACAGUUCCUGGCAACCUCACUACUCUACACCCACCAUGCACUUUGCUAUAGUUUACAUGUACCAUAUCAUAUCAUGGGCAUGACAACCCUUCAAGUUGAGAUUUUACAGAUGAGGAAAUGAAGGCACUAGGAGGUUAAGUAACUUGCCCACAAAGGACACUAGGCUAAUAAGUCAUGGAGCCAGGGUUACUAAUGGCAUUUGACUAUUUUGAGAGAAAAUAGCAUUUUCCUGUCACCCUGAAGGAAACAUGUAUAGAGGUGGGUGUACUCUGUUUCUGCAGAGGGCAGAACUGGGACAACUCAUUGAGAUUACGUGAAUGUAGAUUUCAGUUUAUUAAAGAGCUUCUUUAAAAGUGGCUUUCUAUAGCGAAGAAACAAGUUGCCUAGCAUAGGAAUAACAUCAGACUCAGGACUGUUGUAGAAAAGUCUUGGGGUGGAGAAAAAUUUCUACUACACGAAUUCCUAAAUGAUAAUAUUCCCCAGAACUGUCUUAUUUGAAUAAAAGAUUCAGUAGUUUGCUUGUUAAUCAUAUGAGAAACUAAAGAAAUGCACAAGAAUAUUGAAAAAAUAUACUGCAUAUUGGAUAAUCAAUGUACUGUAAUUGAUUGCAUAAAUAAAAAAUAUACUAC